This 468-nucleotide ribosomal RNA is filed under the name uncultured bacterium. RNAcentral's name for it is "partial 16S ribosomal RNA". It matches the Rfam family "Bacterial small subunit ribosomal RNA", at positions 28 to 507 of the family's 1533-position model. The record is from RNAcentral.
GACGAACGCUGGCGGCGUGCUUAACACAUGCAAGUCGAACGGUGAUGCUCCAGCUUGCUGUAGUGGAUCAUUGGCGAACGGGUGAGUAACACUUGGGCAACCUUCCCCAGACUCUGGAGUAAGCGCGGGAGACGGCGUCUAAUACUGGAUACGAAACUGGCCCGCAUGUUCAUGCUUUGGAAAUUUUUUCGGUUUGGGAUGGGCUCGCGGCCUAUCAGCUUGUUGGUGAGGUAAUGGCUCACCAAGGCGACGACGGGUAGCCGGCCUGAGAGGGCGACCGGCCACACUGGGACUGAGACACGGCCCAGACUCCUACGGGAGGCAGCAGUGGGGAAUAUUGCACAAUGGGCGAAAGCCUGAUGCAGCGACGCCGCGUGAGGGAUGACGGCCUUCGGGUUGUAACCCUCUUUCAGCAGGGAAGAAGCGAAAGUGACGGUACCUGCAGAAGAAGCACCGGCUAACUACGUG